UUAAAAUGCAGUUAUGAAUUUUUUAUGUUCAAUGUUUGAUCGUUCAUAUUAUUUGAAACUCUUCUCUAAUUAUUAUUUUUUAUUAUUGUUAUAUGAUAAAACAAAAUUAAUACUUUAUACAUAACUUAUUUUUUAAAAAAAUUUAUAUAAGUUUUUUAAACAAGACAAGCAGUGAAACGUUAGACACAGAAAACUGUAACUACACCUGAA
This 210-nucleotide microRNA precursor is filed under the name Oryza glumipatula. RNAcentral describes it as "MIR812 microRNA precursor family". It matches the Rfam family "MIR812 microRNA precursor family". The record is from Rfam by way of RNAcentral. Lineage: Eukaryota; Viridiplantae; Streptophyta; Magnoliopsida; Poales; Poaceae.